This is a long non-coding RNA of Parasteatoda tepidariorum (common house spider), 675 nucleotides long. NCBI's taxonomy places the organism in Eukaryota, Metazoa, Arthropoda, Arachnida, Araneae, Theridiidae. The record is from RefSeq and is a predicted model, not a curated record.
AAAAGAUAAAGGUCUACAUUGAAAAUAAAUUUCAUAUAAAUAUAACACAGAGCUAUGUUCCUAAAAUUGUUUUAGUUUUCAAAUAAUUGUUAGUCGUCCAGGCAUUUUCAUAUCUUGCAGCAAUGUUUUUUCCACUGAUUCUUGUAAUGGUUAUUUCAAUGCAAAUAGUAUUUGGACGCAUUGCUCGAACAAACAGCGAAGUUGAAUAUGCAGCCGAAACUACCUGCCCAGAUGGAAUGCCUUGUUCAAUUGGAGUGUGCUGCAAAAAAUUCAGAUUCGGAAGAACUUUCGAGUGCUGUGGCGAAGGUUUUCAUUGCAAGCGGGGAUUUAUAUUCAGCUACUGUAAACAAGAUGCUACACAAUUUGUAGACAUUAACAGAGAGCAAAACAAAGAAGAGUUGGAAAAGAAAGUCAUUCAAAACAUCUUGUUUCUUCAAGAGUGAAAUUAAGAUAUUCUGUAAUCGAAGGAAAAGAAGAAUGUUUAAUUUUCCAAUACUUACAACAGCAUGUUUGUAACACUAGAAUAAACUAAAUUUGUUUAAAAAAAAAAUAUUUGUAAUGAAUUGAAAAGCCAAAGAGUGUAAUGAACAAAUAAUCAUUUUGUUCCUGCAAUUAAAUGAAUUAUUAAUAUUUUUAAUGUUGUAAAAAAUAAAUAUACUAUUUCUGACUUUGAAA